RNAcentral lists this ribosomal RNA (1429 nucleotides) under bacterium 28S431. RNAcentral describes it as "bacterial SSU rRNA". It matches the Rfam family "Bacterial small subunit ribosomal RNA". The record is from RNAcentral.
GCAAGGCUUACCUGCAGUCGAGCGGAGUUGUGGUGCUUGCACCAUAACUUAGCGGCGGACGGGUGAGUAAUGCUUAGGAAUCUGCCUAUUAGUGGGGGACAACGUUUCGAAAGGAACGCUAAUACCGCAUACGCCCUACGGGGGAAAGCAGGGGAUCUUCGGACCUUGCGCUAAUAGAUGAGCCUAAGUCAGAUUAGCUAGUUGGUGGGGUAAAGGCCUACCAAGGCGACGAUCUGUAGCGGGUCUGAGAGGAUGAUCCGCCACACUGGGACUGAGACACGGCCCAGACUCCUACGGGAGGCAGCAGUGGGGAAUAUUGGACAAUGGGGGGAACCCUGAUCCAGCCAUGCCGCGUGUGUGAAGAAGGCCUUUUGGUUGUAAAGCACUUUAAGCGAGGAGGAGGCUACUAGUACUAAUACUACUGGAUAGUGGACGUUACUCGCAGAAUAAGCACCGGCUAACUCUGUGCCAGCAGCCGCGGUAAUACAGAGGGUGCGAGCGUUAAUCGGAUUUACUGGGCGUAAAGCGUACGUAGGCGGCUUUUUAAGUCGGAUGUGAAAUCCCUGAGCUUAACUUAGGAAUUGCAUUCGAUACUGGGAAGCUAGAGUAUGGGAGAGGAUGGUAGAAUUCCAGGUGUAGCGGUGAAAUGCGUAGAGAUCUGGAGGAAUACCGAUGGCGAAGGCAGCCAUCUGGCCUAAUACUGACGCUGAGGUACGAAAGCAUGGGGAGCAAACAGGAUUAGAUACCCUGGUAGUCCAUGCCGUAAACGAUGUCUACUAGCCGUUGGGGCCUUUGAGGCUUUAGUGGCGCAGCUAACGCGAUAAGUAGACCGCCUGGGGAGUACGGUCGCAAGACUAAAACUCAAAUGAAUUGACGGGGGCCCGCACAAGCGGUGGGAGCAUGUGGUUUAAUUGGAUGCAACGCGAAGAACCUUACCUGGUCUUGACAUAGUAAGAACUUUCCAGAGAUGGAUUGGUGCCUUUGGGAACUUACCUACAGGUGUCUUGAUAGGGGUUUUUUCACUCGUGUCGUGAGAUGUUGGGUUAAGUCCCGCAACGAGCGCAACCCUUUUCCUUAUUUGCCAGCGGGUUAAGCCGGGAACUUUAAGGAUACUGCCAGUGACAAACUGGAGGAAGGCGGGGACGACGUCAAGUCAUCAUGGCCCUUACGACCAGGGCUACACACGUGCUACAAUGGUCGGUACAAAGGGUUGCUACCUAGCGAUAGGAUGCUAAUCUCAAAAAGCCGAUCGUAGUCCGGAUUGGAGUCUGCAACUCGACUCCAUGAAGUCGGAAUCGCUAGUAAUCGCGGAUCAGAAUGCCGCGGUGAAUACGUUCCCGGGCCUUGUACACACCGCCCGUCACACCAUGGGAAUUUGUUGCACCAGAAGUAGGUAGUCUAACCGCAAGGAGGACGCUACCACGGGGGA